AGCUCCAUAUCAGCGGAAGCAAAUUCAAGACUUGCUCCGCCUGUCGCACCAAAGCCUUCAUGGAUAUCAAGAAAACAAGAUGACGAUCAUGAACAAAAAAGAGAAUCAGAAGCAGUUGAAGGUAGCCUACAGUUUACAGUCAAAUGUAUUGAGGAAGCCAUGCGUGAACCGAGCAUGUUUGUGUUAGGAUUGCAACAAAUGCUAUCAGCUGUUCAUACUCACAAAAGCAUUGAACAAAAGUUAAGUGAUGCUCAUGCUAAAAACAAUUAUUUACAAAAAAAUAUUGAAGAGCAAUUGCG
Mya arenaria is the source of this 299-nucleotide long non-coding RNA. RefSeq lists it as uncharacterized. The record is from RefSeq and is a predicted model, not a curated record. NCBI's taxonomy places the organism in Eukaryota, Metazoa, Mollusca, Bivalvia, Myida, Myidae. The transcript has 3 exons.